RNAcentral lists this long non-coding RNA (2156 nucleotides) under Panax ginseng (ginseng). Its description in RNAcentral is "long non-coding RNA (PGIN_LNC012027)". Lineage: Eukaryota; Viridiplantae; Streptophyta; Magnoliopsida; Apiales; Araliaceae. The record is from RNAcentral.
GUGAUGAAUUGGAGAAGAGCGUCAAUAGAGUCAGUGGCAGACCUGUGCGUGAACAUUUAAAGAGUGCUGUUCUACAGUCUCCAUAUACAGGAACAUUUGGAUCGGCUGGGUUAUCGUCUAAUGCAUCAGGUGCUAGUCAAAGAGUUGCUGUUAUUUCUGCAUUUCCCAAGGUUUGCAUGGAUAUGCCGUCCAAAUUUGAAGAGGCAUUGUUUGAACAGUGGUUUAAAAUAGGACUUAACAACAGGAAAAGGUUUGUUUUUUACUGUUAACAAUGCUAUAGUUUUUUUAUGAAACAAAUAAAUUUGCUUUUGGGUAGUGUGUAUAUUAACAUGGUAAUUGUUAAUGUCAACGUGUAUACUAAUAUGUUUUUAUAUUGAAGGACGAACAAAUUUCUUGGGAAGAAUGACAUUAUCGAACCUGCUUUUGUAUUUGGGUCUAUCCCAAUUUCAUCUAAAAUGUGGUUUUAUAAAUUAAAGACUCCUGGGCAAUGGUUAGACGAUGAUGUGAGUUCUUUUUUUUUAAAUUAUGUUUCUAUAUUUAUGGUUACAUUAUUUAUUUGUUUAAGUAAAUAGCUUUAACAGUGUUGGUUACUGUCAUAUACCUGAUUUGUUACUGUCAUAUGACUGUUUUGUUACUAUUAUAUUACUGUUUUGUUACUAUCAUAUAACUAUUUGGUUACUAUUAUAUAAUUGUUUGGUUACUAUCAUAAAUGUUUUAUAUAUAUGUUGGUUACCAUCAUAUAAAAUGAUAUGUUAAUAUUUAAGCAUGUUUUGGUUGCUAUGAUAUAAGUGGUUGGUUACUGUCAUAUAUAUGUUUUGUUAUUAUUAUAUUACUGUUUGGUUACUAGUAUACAACUAUUUGUUUACUAUUAUAUAAUUGUCUGGUUACUAUGAUAUAUGUUUUAUAUAUGUUUUGGUUGCCAACAUAUAAAUUGAUAUGUUACUAUAUAAACAUGUUUUGGUUGCUAUGAUAUAAGUGGUUGGUUACUGUCAUAUAACUGUUUUGUUAUUGUCAUAUACCUAUUUUGUUACUAUCAUAUUACUGUUUUGUUAAUAUCGUACAACUUUUUGGUUACUAUUAUAUAAUUUUUUGGUUACUAUCAUAUAUGUUCUAUAUAUGUUUUUGUUACCAUCAUAUAAACUGAUAUGUUGAUAUAUAAACAUGUUUUGGUUACUAUGAUAUAAGUGGUUGGUUACAGUCAUAUAACUAUUUUGUUACUGUCAUAUAACUGUUUUGUUACUAUUAUAUUACUAUUUGGUUACUAUGUUACAAGUGUUUGGUUACUAUUAUAUAAUUGUUUGGUUACUAUCAUGUAUGUUAUAUAUAUGUUUUUGUUACCAUCAUAUAAACUGAUAUGUUGAUAUAUAAACAUGUUUUGGUUACUAUGAUAAAAGUUGUUGGUUACUAUCAUAUAACUGUUUUGUUACUGUCAUAUUACUGUUUUGUUACUAUCAUAUUACUGUUUGGUUACUAUCUUGCAACUGUUUGGUUUACUAUUAUAUAAUUGAUUGGUUACUAUCAUAUAUAUAUAUAUAUAUAUGUGUGUGUUGGUUAGCAUCAUAUAUGUUUUAUGUUUUUUUUUAAAUUAUGUUUUUAUAGUUACGGUUACAUUAUUUAGAUGUUUAAGUAACUAGCAUUAACAGUGUUGGUUACAUUGAUUACAUAAUGUUAUUUUUCAACACUAUUAAUAUUUUUUUUUUUGUUCAGCAUAUCAAUGUUGCAUUAUAUUACUUCCGUAAAUUGGCCAGACAUUCUGAUACUGUGCAUAUAAGGGCAACGACUACGGAUUGUUGGUUCCAUGCCAAGAUGACCUCUCUUUUUGAAGAGUAUACAAGAAAAAAUUCAGAUAAGAGUGUAUUGUCUGGGGAGGGUGAUGUUGCUGAGUACAUUCAUGGACUGUUUAUGGAUGUCAACACACCAUGGAAAAAUGUUGACUAUGUUUUGUUCCCCAUACAUAUGUCAUCACCGGACCAUUGGUUUUUGUUAACAUUUGAUGUGCAUCGUAGACGUCUAACUGUUUAUAAUUCUCUGUAGCCCAAAAGGAAAUCCAUGCAAACAAAAAUCAUGGAUGUUUGUGAACCGUAUAUAUUUAUUCUUUCCACUUUAUUGCGCAAGAUUGGAUUUUGGAGGGAUAGGAGUGACAUUGACUUUAGCAG